Molecule: long non-coding RNA, 502 nt
Organism: Acinonyx jubatus (cheetah)
Lineage: Eukaryota; Metazoa; Chordata; Mammalia; Carnivora; Felidae
Exons: 4
Source: RefSeq, a predicted model, not a curated record
GCAUGCAGUAGAUGCCCUGGGCUGGAAGCCUGGCCUCAGGCUCGGAGAGCUUCCUGAGGAAAAGUGUGCAAGUGUGCAAUGGCUCACACCACUGACCCACUGCUCCCGGCCGACGACAGCACAGAAUCUGUGGCUGGCCAGGAGUGAGUCUACCUGGGAAGCUUACAGGGGAGAGAGGCGUGGUGGAAGGAAAGGUGCUAUCCUGCCCCCAGCAGAACAGAGGAAAAGGCACAUGAAUCCGCCAUAAUGGAAUGUCAUUUGGCCAUGAAAAGGAACAAAAGGUUUUUACAUGAUAUGACACGGGUGAGCCUUGAGAGUAUAUGCUAAGUGAAAGAAGACAAUCUCAAAAGGCCACACGUUGUAGGAGUUCAGGCAAAUUCAUACGGACAGAAAGGAGAGUUUGAGGCUGCCAGGGGCUGUGGCGAGCAGGGAAUGAACAGCGACUGCUAACAGAUGGGGAAAGUGUUCUGGCACUAGCAUGAGGAUCCCACUCUGAAAAGGU